GACGAACGAUGGCGGCGUGCCUAAUACAUGCAAGUAGAACGCUGAAGGAGGAGCUUGCUUCUCCGGAUGAGUUGCGAACGGGUGAGUAACGCGUAGGUAACCUGCCUGGUAGCGGGGGAUAACUAUUGGAAACGAUAGCUAAUACCGCAUAAGAGUAGAUGUUGCAUGACAUUUGCUUAAAAGGUGCAAUUGCAUCACUACCAGAUGGACCUGCGUUGUAUUAGCUAGUUGGUGAGGUAACGGCUCACCAAGGCGACGAUACAUAGCCGACCUGAGAGGGUGAUCGGCCACACUGGGACUGAGACACGGCCCAGACUCCUACGGGAGGCAGCAGUAGGGAAUCUUCGGCAAUGGACGGAAGUCUGACCGAGCAACGCCGCGUGAGUGAAGAAGGUUUUCGGAUCGUAAAGCUCUGUUGUAAGAGAAGAACGAGUGUGAGAGUGGAAAGUUCACACUGUGACGGUAUCUUACCAGAAAGGGACGGCUAACUACGUG
RNAcentral lists this ribosomal RNA (495 nucleotides) under uncultured bacterium. RNAcentral describes it as "partial 16S ribosomal RNA". It matches the Rfam family "Bacterial small subunit ribosomal RNA", at positions 28 to 507 of the family's 1533-position model. The record is from RNAcentral.